RNAcentral lists this small RNA (424 nucleotides) under Aeromonas jandaei. Its description in RNAcentral is "cspA thermoregulator". The stretch from base 74 to 424 matches the Rfam family "cspA thermoregulator". Lineage: Bacteria; Pseudomonadati; Pseudomonadota; Gammaproteobacteria; Aeromonadales; Aeromonadaceae. The record is from RNAcentral.
UUAGGCAGUCAUUUUAGUAAAGCAGUGAUUAGUGCAAGUAUUAUUUCGAUGAUGCUUGACGAAUAAUUCUCCUUCUUUAGUGCUUCCCAUACGUAUUGCUGACGAAAAAUCAAAUUUGCCAUUUGAUGGCAUUUCUAACACUAAAUUUAAGAGAAAUUAUUAUGUCUAAAGUGACUGGUACCGUUAAGUUCUUCAACUCCGAGAAAGGUUUUGGUUUCAUCUCCCCGGUUGAUGGCAGCAAAGAUGUGUUCGUUCACUUCUCCGCCAUCCAGACCCCGGGUUUCAAAACCCUGGACGAAGGUCAGCGCGUUGAGUUCACCAUCGAGCAAGGCCAGAAAGGCCCGGCUGCUGCCAACGUAGUAGCUCUGUAAUUCACGCCCGGGCAGCUGUCCGGUCUGAAUGAAAAAACCCGCCAAGGCGGGUU